This 460-nucleotide ribosomal RNA is filed under the name uncultured bacterium. RNAcentral describes it as "partial 16S ribosomal RNA". It matches the Rfam family "Bacterial small subunit ribosomal RNA", at positions 338 to 795 of the family's 1533-position model. The record is from RNAcentral.
CCUACGGGAUGCAGCAGUGAGGAAUAUUGCUCAAUGGACGAGAGUCUGAACCAGCCAAGUCGCGUGAAGGAUGACUGCCCUCUGGGUUUUAAACUUCUUUUAUAUGGGAAUAAAAUGUUCCACGUGUGGGAUUUUGUAUGUACCAUACGAACAAGGAUCGCCUAACUCCGUGCCAUCAGCCGCGGUACUACGGAGGAUCCGAGCGUUAUCCGGAUUUAUUGGGUUUAACGGGAGCGUAGGUGGAUUGUUAAGUCAGUUGUGAAAGUUUGGGGCUCAACCGGAAAAUUGCAGUUGAAACUGGCAGGCGUGAGUACAGUAGAGGUGGGCAGAAUUCGUGGUGUAGCGGUGAAAUGCUUAGAUAUCACGAAGAACUCCGAUUGCGAAGGCAGCUCACUGGACUGCAACUGACACUGAGGCGCGAAAGUGUGGGUAGCAAACAGGAUUAGAUACCCCAGUAGUC